AACUGCGAGUGAAGCGGGAAAAGCUCAAAUUUAAAAUCUGGCGGUCUUUGGCUGUCCGAGUUGUAAUUUAGAGAAGCGUCUUCCGCGCCGGUCCGUGCACAAGUCUCCUGGAAUGGAGCGUCAUAGAGGGUGAGAAUCCCGUCUUUGGCACGGAUGCCUGGUGCUUCUGUGAUGCGCUCUCGAAGAGUCGAGUUGUUUGGGAAUGCAGCUCAAAAUGGGUGGUGAACUCCAUCUAAAGCUAAAUAUUGGCGAGAGACCGAUAGCGAACAAGUACCGUGAGGGAAAGAUGAAAAGCACUUUGGAAAGAGAGUGAAACAGUACGUGAAAUUGUUGAAAGGGAAACGCUUGAAGUCAGUCGCGUCGACCGAGACUCAGCCUUGCCUUGGCUUGGUGUACUUCUCGGCACGACGGGUCAGCAUCAAUUUUGCCCCUCGGAUAAUGGCAAGGGAAAGGUGGCACCUUCACGGGUGUGUUAUAGUCUCCUGUCGCAUGCGAGGGGUGGGAUUGAGGAACUCAGCGCGCACCUUGGUGUCGGGGCUUCG
RNAcentral lists this ribosomal RNA (542 nucleotides) under Lactarius cremicolor. RNAcentral's name for it is "LSU rRNA". It matches the Rfam family "Eukaryotic large subunit ribosomal RNA", at positions 85 to 636 of the family's 3401-position model. The record is from RNAcentral. Lineage: Eukaryota; Fungi; Basidiomycota; Agaricomycetes; Russulales; Russulaceae.